UUAUUUGUAUUAUGAAACCAAGGUUCUGAGAACCGGACCGGUCAUCGAACCGUUUUAGUUACUGGUUCAUUGGUUUAUUGGUCCAACCGGUCUAACCGUAGUUUAACCGAAAAAACCGUUUUAAAAUAAAAUAAUAAAUAAAUUAUAAAUAAACAUCCUAAAAUAUAACUCAACCUAUUUUUUGUCUCAUGACAACACUAUCAUUCAAACAACAUAAUCAUUGAAUACAAUGCAAAGCUACUUAUUCAUUGAGAUCUCACAUUAUACAAACAACUUUCACGACUUAAGUUCACAUUUUCAGCAAACAAUUGUAACCAAUGUUAUUUUUUCUUUUACGAUGAUAUGUACAAAACUACAAACUAACUGGAAAUAGAUAUGAGCUUAGAUGCAUGAUUAUGUAGUGUAGUGAGGUGAAUUUUUGUCUCUUUGUUAACAUGAGAUUAUACAAUGCUCCCCCUGUGAAUUUGUCUCCAAGAAACAUUAUAAUAUUCAUGAAUUCACAAAAUGUUUACUCUAGGGAACCAGAGAGCAUAGAUACUGGACUAGGCAAGUAAUGCUUAACUACAUUGAAUAAAUUUGCAUGGCCUUGACAUGACUUUGACUAAUAACACAGAUACAAAUAUGCAUUGAAAUAACCCCAAUCAUAAACACCAUUACCAAAUUAAAUAAAAAAUUAACCAAAAAUCACCUUGCAAAUCAAAAACUCAAUCUCUUGAACUCAAUAAUUACAUCCGAUAUCCAACUAAAUAAUUGCAUCACAGUUAUCAUAAAUUGAUUUCAAAGCCUAGAAGCAGAGUGAAAUUAAAAACAUGAAGCAUAUAAUAAAUCAAAAGAUCACCAAUAGCAAGUUUUUUAAUAAGAACAGAAGUUAAGAACAAUGAAAAAUGAAAAAAGAUUCAACAGUUUUCAACCCAAUUUUAAUAAAGCUCAUCACAAUGAUUAACAACAACAAAAAGUAAUGAAGGAACAGUGAAUCAGUAACAGGCAGUGCAAAUUUAAAAUUUAAAAGUUAUCAAUUUAAAAUUUAUCAUCAAAUACAAUCAGUGAGCAAAGCCAAUCAACCAAGCACUAACUAAGUAUUCUGUUCUGAUUCUGUGACUAAGAAGCAACAAAUUCAGCCACAAAAGUUACAGCAACAAAUUUAACAAAUCCAAGUAAAGUCCCAAUUUACAGUAACAUUUAGAUUAGCAACAAGGCAAAUUUGAUUAGCAAUUCAGCAACAUGCAAAAAUACAGGGAGAAGGGAAAUCU
Non-coding RNA from Arachis ipaensis, 1250 nucleotides. The record is from RefSeq and is a predicted model, not a curated record. Lineage: Eukaryota; Viridiplantae; Streptophyta; Magnoliopsida; Fabales; Fabaceae.